GAUGAAGAACGUAGCGAAAUGCGAUACGUAAUGUGAAUUACAGAAUUCAGUGAAUCAUCGAGUCUUUGAACGCACAUUGCGCCCCCUGGUAUUCCGGGGGGCAUGCUUGUCCGAGCGUCAUUGCUGCCCUCAAGCACGGCUUGUGUGUUGGGCCUCCGUCCUCCUCCCGGGGGACGGGCCCGAAAGGCAGCGGCGGCACCGCGUCCGGUCCUCGAGCGUAUGGGGCUUCGUCACCCGCUCUUGUAGGCCCGGCCGGCGCUUGCCGACACAUCAAUCUUUUUUCCAGGUUGACCUCGGAUCAGGUAGGGAUACCCGCUGAACUUAAGCAUAUCAAUAAGCGGAGGA
This 345-nucleotide unclassified non-coding RNA is filed under the name soil metagenome. Its description in RNAcentral is "partial contains 5.8S ribosomal RNA, internal transcribed spacer 2, and large subunit ribosomal RNA". The stretch from base 1 to 120 matches the Rfam family "5.8S ribosomal RNA", at positions 35 to 154 of the family's 154-position model. The record is from RNAcentral.